CAGUCGCCGCGGUAAUACAGAGGGUGCGAGCGUUAAUCGGAUUUACUGGGCGUAAAGCGUGCGCAGGCGGUUCGUUAAGACAGAUGUGAAAUCCCCGGGCUUAACCUGGGAACUGCAUUUGUGACUGGCGGGCUAGAGUAUGGCAGAGGGGGGUAGAAUUCCACGUGUAGCAGUGAAAUGCGUAGAGAUGUGGAGGAAUACCGAUGGCGAAGGCAGCCCCCUGGGCCAAUACUGACGCUCAUGCACGAAAGCGUGGGGAGCAAACAGGAUUAGAUACCCCAGUAGUCUCUGUCUCUUAUAA
RNAcentral lists this ribosomal RNA (301 nucleotides) under uncultured bacterium. RNAcentral's name for it is "partial 16S ribosomal RNA". It matches the Rfam family "Bacterial small subunit ribosomal RNA", at positions 509 to 809 of the family's 1533-position model. The record is from RNAcentral.